This 440-nucleotide ribosomal RNA is filed under the name uncultured bacterium. RNAcentral's name for it is "partial 16S ribosomal RNA". It matches the Rfam family "Bacterial small subunit ribosomal RNA", at positions 338 to 795 of the family's 1533-position model. The record is from RNAcentral.
CCUACGGGAGACAGCAGUGGGGAAUAUUGCACAAUGGGGGAAACCCUGAUGCAGCGACGCCGCGUGAGUGAAGAAGUAUUUCGGUACGUAAAGCUCUAUCAGCAGGGAAGAAAAUGACGGUACCUGACUAAGAAGCCCCGGCUAACUACGUGCCAGCAGCCGCGGUAAUACGUAGGGGGCAAGCGUUAUCCGGAUUUACUGGGUGUAAAGGGAGCGUAGACGGCAGCGCAAGUCUGGGGUGAAAUCCCAUGGCUUAACCAUGGAACUGCUUUGGAAACUGUGCAGCUAGAGUGCAGGAGAGGUAAGCGGAAUUCCUAGUGUAGCGGUGAAAUGCGUAGAUAUUAGGAGGAACACCAGUGGCGAAGGCGGCUUACUGGACUGUAACUGACGUUGAGGCUCGAAAGCGUGGGGAGCAAACAGGAUUAGAUACCCUUGUAGUC